This 519-nucleotide ribosomal RNA is filed under the name Fusarium equiseti. RNAcentral's name for it is "eukaryotic LSU rRNA". The stretch from base 173 to 326 matches the Rfam family "5.8S ribosomal RNA". The record is from RNAcentral. Lineage: Eukaryota; Fungi; Ascomycota; Sordariomycetes; Hypocreales; Nectriaceae.
UGNAACCUGCGGAGGGAUCAUUACCGAGUUUACAACUCCCAAACCCCUGUGAACAUACCUAUACGUUGCCUCGGCGGAUCAGCCCGCGCCCCGUAAAACGGGACGGCCCGCCCGAGGACCCCUAAACUCUGUUUUUAGUGGAACUUCUGAGUAAAACAAACAAAUAAAUGAAAACAAACAACAACGGAUCUCUUGGUUCUGGCAUCGAUGAAGAACGCAGCAAAAUGCGAUAAGUAAUGUGAAUUGCAGAAUUCAGUGAAUCAUCGAAUCUUUGAACGCACAUUGCGCCCGCCAGUAUUCUGGCGGGCAUGCCUGUUCGAGCGUCAUUUCAACCCUCAAGCUCAGCUUGGUGUUGGGACUCGCGGUAACCCGCGUUCCCCAAAUCGAUUGGCGGUCACGUCGAGCUUCCAUAGCGUAGUAAUCAUACACCUCGUUACUGGUAAUCGUCGCGGCCACGCCGUAAAACCCCAACUUCUGAAUGUUGACCUCGGAUCAGGUAGGAAUNACCCGCUGAACUUA